RNAcentral lists this small RNA (107 nucleotides) under Marmota monax (woodchuck). Lineage: Eukaryota; Metazoa; Chordata; Mammalia; Rodentia; Sciuridae. The record is from RNAcentral.
GCUGGGCAUGGUUGUACAUGCCUGUAAUCCCAGCUACUUGGGAGGCUGAGGAAGGAGGAUGGUAAGUUUGAGGCCAGCCUGGGCAACUUAGUGAGACCCUGCCUCAA